GCAAACAGGAUUAGAUACCCUGGUAGUCCACGCCGUAAACGAUGUCGACUUGGAGGUUGUGCCCUUGAGGCGUGGCUUCCGGAGCUAACGCGUUAAGUCGACCGCCUGGGGAGUACGGCCGCAAGGUUAAAACUCAAAUGAAUUGACGGGGGCCCGCACAAGCGGUGGAGCAUGUGGUUUAAUUCGAUGCAACGCGAAGAACCUUACCUGGCCUUGACAUCCAGAGAACUUAGCAGAGAUGCUUUGGUGCCUUCGGGAACUCUGAGACAGGUGCUGCAUGGCUGUCGUCAGCUCGUGUUGUGAAAUGUUGGGUUAAGUCCCGCAACGAGCGCAACCCUUAUCCUUUGUUGCCAGCGGCUCGGCCGGGAACUCAAAGGAGACUGCCGGUGAUAAACCGGAGGAAGGUGGGGAUGACGUCAAGUCAUCAUGGCCCUUACGGCCAGGGCUACACACGUGCUACAAUGGCGCAUACAAAGAGAAGCGACCUCGCGAGAGCAAGCGGACCUCAUAAAGUGCGUCGUAGUCCGGAUUGGAGUCUGCAACUCGACUCCAUGAAGUCGGAAUCGCUAGUAAUCGUAGAUCAGAAUGCUACGGUGAAUACGUUCCCGGGCCUUGUACACACCGCCCGUCACACCAUGGGAGUGGGUUGCAAAAGAAGUAGGUAGCUUAACCUUCGGGAGGGCGC
RNAcentral lists this ribosomal RNA (685 nucleotides) under Pantoea sp. RNAcentral's name for it is "bacterial SSU rRNA". It matches the Rfam family "Bacterial small subunit ribosomal RNA", at positions 768 to 1453 of the family's 1533-position model. The record is from RNAcentral. Lineage: Bacteria; Pseudomonadati; Pseudomonadota; Gammaproteobacteria; Enterobacterales; Erwiniaceae.